UCCUCCGUGGUGUAACCGGCAGCACACGGGUCUUUGGAACCCAUGGUCCAGGUUCGAAUCCUGGCGGAGGAGCCG
This 75-nucleotide transfer RNA is filed under the name Bifidobacterium animalis subsp. animalis. RNAcentral describes it as "tRNA-Gln". It matches the Rfam family "tRNA". From Rfam's summary of the family: Transfer RNA (tRNA) molecules are approximately 80 nucleotides in length. Their secondary structure includes four short double-helical elements and three loops (D, anti-codon, and T loops). Further hydrogen bonds mediate the characteristic L-shaped molecular structure. tRNAs have two regions of fundamental functional importance: the anti-codon, which is responsible for specific mRNA codon recognition, and the 3' end, to which the tRNAs corresponding amino acid is attached (by aminoacyl-tRNA synthetases). tRNAs cope with the degeneracy of the genetic code in two manners: having more than one tRNA (with a specific anti-codon) for a particular amino acid; and 'wobble' base-pairing, i.e. permitting non-standard base-pairing at the 3rd anti-codon position. RNAcentral also lists the same sequence under 1 other name. The record is from RNAcentral. Lineage: Bacteria; Bacillati; Actinomycetota; Actinomycetes; Bifidobacteriales; Bifidobacteriaceae.